CCCACACCUAUGUGUGCAGGACCCUAAACGAUCACCAUUAAAUUUGAUACAGAUCUCUAGAAAAAUUAUCAUACGGGUGUGGGACUUGACUUUUCUAGAGAUCUGUGUCAAAUUUAAUGGUGAUCAUUUGGGGUCCUACACACAUGGGUGUGGG
Molecule: microRNA precursor, 154 nt
Filed under: Amborella trichopoda
Lineage: Eukaryota; Viridiplantae; Streptophyta; Magnoliopsida; Amborellales; Amborellaceae
Description: MIR8565 microRNA precursor family
Rfam family: MIR8565 microRNA precursor family
Source: Rfam by way of RNAcentral